UACAGAGGGUGCGAGCGUUAAUCGGAAUUACUGGGCGUAAAGCGUGCGUAGACGGUUAUUUAAGUCGGGUGUGAAAGCCCCGGGCUCAACCUGGGAAUUGCAUUCGAGACUGAAUAGCUAGGGUACAGUAGAGGGAAGCGGAAUUUCCGGUGUAGCGGUGAAAUGCGUAGAUAUCGGAAGGAACAUCAGUGGCGAAAGCGGCUUCCUGGACCAGUACCGACGUUCAGGCACGAAAGCGUGGGGAGCAAACAGG
This 253-nucleotide ribosomal RNA is filed under the name uncultured bacterium. Its description in RNAcentral is "partial 16S ribosomal RNA". It matches the Rfam family "Bacterial small subunit ribosomal RNA", at positions 524 to 776 of the family's 1533-position model. The record is from RNAcentral.